GACAGGGGAGGCGAGCGUUAUCCGGAGUCAUUGGGCGUAAAGGGUACGUAGGCGGCUAGUCAAGUCUGAGGUUAAAGACCACAGCUUAACUGUGGGAAGGCCUUGGAAACUGACUGGCUAGAGUGGGGCAGGGGUAGCGGGAAUUCCCGGUGUAGCGGUGAAAUGCGUAGAUAUCGGGAAGAACACCUGAGGCGAAAGCGCGCAACUGGGCCUCAACUGACGCUGAGGUACGAAAGCUAGGGGAGCGAAUGGG
Molecule: ribosomal RNA, 253 nt
Filed under: uncultured bacterium
Lineage: Bacteria
Description: partial 16S ribosomal RNA
Rfam family: Bacterial small subunit ribosomal RNA
Source: RNAcentral